This is a long non-coding RNA of Phragmites australis (common reed), 1635 nucleotides long. RefSeq lists it as uncharacterized. The record is from RefSeq and is a predicted model, not a curated record. Lineage: Eukaryota; Viridiplantae; Streptophyta; Magnoliopsida; Poales; Poaceae. The transcript is spliced from 3 exons.
UACACCGAGUGUUGCCCAAUCCGCGAACCUUCUCUCCGGAGCCAGCGUCGUCGGUAACUUCGGCCUCUCCCUGAGCACCUACACUCCGGCAGAGGCGGGGGAAGAGGCGACCUGCAGAAGCCCUCCAUCGAGCCCCUAUGCGAGUUCCUCCUGUGCGGACGCCGUCGCCGACCUCGAAGUCUACGAAGCGUAGCGCACCGGCAAGCCCAACGAGGCCCUUCGUCGACCCGCUCUGCGGGCUCUUCCCACGUAGACGCCAUCACCCCGAGCACCUGCACACCGGCGGAAGUGGGUGAAGUGGCGACCCAUCCGUGGAUUUCUGUGGUACCGGCACCCUCAGCAAACAGGGCCUCUCCCCCAGCACCUGCACGCCAGCGGAAGUGCGUGAAGCGGUGACCCGACGACGCCCUACAAAGAGCCUCUCCGCGGGUCCUUCCCGUGCCGGCGCCCUCGGCUACCUCGGCCUCUUCCAAGUGUAGCGAGUCGCCGAACCUAUCGACUGAUUCCAACCAUGUCGCACACUUCCUGAAGCUUGGACUCCGGCAGACCUCCUGAAGUUCGGCCUCCCGUAGCUAGCUCCAAGGGAAUAGCCUGACGAAGCAUAAAAGGUUAAUGCCUUAUUGGAACCUGCAAAACUGCUGCCUGUUUGGGAUUUUUUGAGAGUCGCCAGGUUAGCAUCCAACCAUCUGAAGCAGAUUUACAUCUUUACAAUAUAUGUUUCUAUUGAAAAAAAUACAUGUCCAUUGAGGAUCCAAGAAUAUUAAAAUUCAUUCUUCAAUUUUUUUUUCUACACUAAGUUUCACAGUUUUGUUGCUGACAGUAAUUUUUAUAGUUAUUCCCUUUGGAUGAUACUUACUAUUUGUAUAUGUCAUGCUUCUGUCAAUAUGUAAUAAUACUCACCUUGAUCAAAAUGUUACUUCUUUAGGCCAAUGCAGUCCACUGAGGAUCCAAGAAUAUUGAAAUUCAUGCUUCCAUUUUUUUCUACACUAAGUCUCACAGUUUUUUCAUUGACAGUAAUUUUUGUAGUUAUUCCCUUUGGAUGAUACUUAUUAUUUGUAUAUGUCAUGCUUCUGUCAGCAUGUAAUAAUACUUAUUUGUCAAUUGUACGUAUUUUCUGAUCAAAAUGUUGUUUUUCCUGUAAAUUUUCCACCCCAGACUUAACCACUAGGUUUACUCACCCUCCUUCCAUUGUUUUGCAAGAUUCUUCCUCUUUCUGUAGAACCGGAAAGGAAUCUCAAUUUGUAUUAAGAAAAAUCUGGGUGAGUUCAACCUGUCAACUUACAAUAUUCUAAAUUCAUUUGAUAGUUUUUGUUAUGUUACAGAAAUGCAAUACAAAAAAUGAUGCAUACUUUUCUUAGUUGCUAAAAAGGUUAAUCCAAAAAAAUAUUCAUAAAGAUGUUUGGCUUGCCUGUUGAUCGUUAGAUAAGGUUCUCAUGGGCUUGACCUAUUUAACUUCAGCAACAACUGCAAGUGUAAAACGAGCUACAAUCAUAAAGAGAUCAACUCAUAUGGGUAUUUGGACUGAAUUGUAAACUCUAAGUUGUUGGGUCAAGAAAAUUCUCCCUGAAUAGAGUUGCCUAGAGCUCCGAACCACUCAUGCAAGGCUUCAAUUAUUGUGUAAUCUGGAUUUGUUGC